GGAGGGGUGGCUGAGUGGCUGAAAGCGUUGGUUUGCUAAAUCAAUAUACACAAGUGUGUAUCACGGGUUCGAAUCCCGUUCCUUCCG
RNAcentral lists this transfer RNA (87 nucleotides) under Chloroparvula japonica. RNAcentral's name for it is "tRNA-Ser". It matches the Rfam family "tRNA". Rfam says of the family: Transfer RNA (tRNA) molecules are approximately 80 nucleotides in length. Their secondary structure includes four short double-helical elements and three loops (D, anti-codon, and T loops). Further hydrogen bonds mediate the characteristic L-shaped molecular structure. tRNAs have two regions of fundamental functional importance: the anti-codon, which is responsible for specific mRNA codon recognition, and the 3' end, to which the tRNAs corresponding amino acid is attached (by aminoacyl-tRNA synthetases). tRNAs cope with the degeneracy of the genetic code in two manners: having more than one tRNA (with a specific anti-codon) for a particular amino acid; and 'wobble' base-pairing, i.e. permitting non-standard base-pairing at the 3rd anti-codon position. The record is from RNAcentral. Lineage: Eukaryota; Viridiplantae; Chlorophyta; Chloropicophyceae; Chloropicales; Chloropicaceae.